Molecule: unclassified non-coding RNA, 328 nt
Filed under: soil metagenome
Description: partial contains 5.8S ribosomal RNA, internal transcribed spacer 2, and large subunit ribosomal RNA
Rfam family: 5.8S ribosomal RNA (bases 1-120)
Source: RNAcentral
GAUGAAGAACGUAGCGAAAUGCGAUAAGUAAUGUGAAUUGCAGAAUUCAGUGAAUCAUCGAAUCUUUGAACGCACAUUGCGCCCCUUGGUAUUCCGAGGGGCAUGCCUGUUCGAGCGUCAUUAUAACCCUCAAGCUCAGCUUGGUGUUGGGGCCUGCUGCACUGGCAGCCCUUAAAAUCAGUGGCGGCGCCAUCUGGCUCUAAGCGUAGUAAUUCUUCUCGCUAUGGAGUCCUGGUGGAUGCUUGCCAUCAACCCCCAAUUUUUCUAUGGUUGACCUCGGAUCAGGUAGGGAUACCCGCUGAACUUAAGCAUAUCAAUAAGAGGAGGA